CUAAGGGAGGUAAUAAAAAUUAAGCAAAUUAUUUCCCCCUUUUUAUCUUUCUGCAGGCAUGUGCCGGUAUAAAAUAUGGGGUCAGAAGGAGUGACUUCCACCUGGGCUACAGACACACGUGUGCAUAAUGGGUUCCUGACAUCUUCUUCUGCCCCAUUUUCGUCCCCGCCAGGCUGCCCCUGCCCAGCCGCGUAUGAAUGAACAGAAGUGCCUUUCAUCCCCCACUUGCCUGGUGCUUCAAAAGGAACUACGAAAAUAGCAGCAACAAAAAUCCAGCCGCCUGCCAAAAGGCCCGCACACGUCCCAUUCUCACAGGCAUGCGAAAGCCACAGACAAUUUCUGUUGGGAAAAGUGCCAUACAGUAUCGACAGUGACAACAAAUUGUAUUGUCCGGUGAACAUCUGUUUCCGACUCCCACACUGAUACUGCAGGUUGGCUACCUCUGAUUUAGUCUUCACAGGCUGCCCAACCGCAGAGGAACUGGAAAUUACUGGUGCAUUCAACUUUUAUUAUUGGAACACAGGAAAACUUUAUCAUCAUGCUGGGAAGUUGUGUGUCUUUUGAAAUAUUGCAAGGAGGAUGAUGUGAGCACAGAAAGCCACAUGCGACAGUUCUUAUGAAGGAGAAGAGUGACUUCUGUUCAUUGUGUCUGUCCAUAYGUAGAAAGAAGGAGAGCAAGAAACUCCACUGAAACUCCUGUUAACACUAAUUAGAGUUGCCAGCAUGCAGCAGAAUCAAAGGCAAAACAUGUGGAGCUCCCACUGAAGUCAAGAGGAGAAGGGUAUGACUUAAAGGAGAG
Malurus melanocephalus (red-backed fairy wren) is the source of this 799-nucleotide long non-coding RNA. RefSeq lists it as uncharacterized. The record is from RefSeq and is a predicted model, not a curated record. The transcript is spliced from 3 exons. Lineage: Eukaryota; Metazoa; Chordata; Aves; Passeriformes; Maluridae.